UGCAAGUAGAACGCUGAAGAGAGGAGCUUGCUCUUCUUGGAUGAGUUGCGAACGGGUGAGUAACGCGUAGGUAACCUGCCUUGUAGCGGGGGAUAACUAUUGGAAACGAUAGCUAAUACCGCAUAACAAUGGAUGACACAUGUCAUUUAUUUGAAAGGGGCAAUUGCUCCACUACAAGAUGGACCUGCGUUGUAUUAGCUAGUAGGUGAGGUAAUGGCUCACCUAGGCGACGAUACAUAGCCGACCUGAGAGGGUGAUCGGCCACACUGGGACUGAGACACGGCCCAGACUCCUACGGGAGGCAGCAGUAGGGAAUCUUCGGCAAUGGGGGCAACCCUGACCGAGCAACGCCGCGUGAGUGAAGAAGGUUUUCGGAUCGUAAAGCUCUGUUGUAAGUCAAGAACGGGUGUGAGAGUGGAAAGUUCACACUGUGACGGUAGCUUACCAGAAAGGGACGGCUAACUACGUGCCAGCAGCCGCGGUAAUACGUAGGUCCCGAGCGUUGUCCGGAUUUAUUGGGCGUAAAGCGAGCGCAGGCGGUUUGAUAAGUCUGAAGUUAAAGGCUGUGGCUCAACCAUAGUUCGCUUUGGAAACUGUCAAACUUGAGUGCAGAAGGGGAGAGUGGAAUUCCAUGUGUAGCGGUGAAAUGCGUAGAUAUAUGGGAGGAACACCGGUGGCGAAAGCGGCUCUCUGGUCUGUAACUGACGCUGAGGCUCGAAAGCGUGGGGAG
RNAcentral lists this ribosomal RNA (730 nucleotides) under uncultured bacterium. RNAcentral's name for it is "bacterial SSU rRNA". It matches the Rfam family "Bacterial small subunit ribosomal RNA", at positions 56 to 768 of the family's 1533-position model. The record is from RNAcentral.